AACCGCAGCGAACGACUGUGGCGAGCGUGAAAGGUUGGCAGUAGUGGGAGCUAGUGGAAGUAGUUCGCCGAUAGGAUCGCGGCGUUGGAGCGGUGUCCUUUGGUUUCUCUAGAGACUCUCGGGGUCCUUGUUUGCCGGAGAAAGCCCAGGUUGAUGAGGUGAUGAGAGGAUUCACGAGGGGCCCAAACUUCGGACCGCCCAGGUGGUGACCGAAGUUAUAAAAGGGCUAUACAUUUGUUGAUAUGUUAGUCGUGACAAACGACAGCAGUGGCUGUAGAUGAUCUCGGAUGUAAUCCCAUAUCGCAAAUGAGAGAACUUUUAAGAAGGGACAUCUAAAUGCCCAAGGGUGUCAUUGAGUGACAUUAAGUGCUGCGGCCACCCAUUUCUUCUAAAAACAUGGCUACCAAUCAAGUGGAUUACCAGUGGGCUUACUCCAUAAUGGACUCAUCCAGGGUUUCCACCUUUCUCAUAUCGAUAUUGCUGAUCGUUUAUGGCAGUUUUCGAUCAUUAAAUAUGGAGCAAGAGGCAAGAGAAAGGGAGAAAGAAAAGGAACGUAAUAAUUUGUUAACGGGGCUAACGAGCAGUAGUGGCACUGGAAAUGUUGAUGGCGCUAAUGGAGGAUGCGUCCAGACUUUAGAUACAAUGCAUGCUCUCUGUCUACCUCUUGGUGCUUCCAUUUCAUUACUCAUCAUGUUUUUCUUUUUUGAUAGUAUGCAGACGCUCUUUGCAAUAUGCACAGCUAUUAUAGCUACAGUUGCCCUGGCAUUUCUUUUGUUACCCAUGUGUCAAUAUAUAAUAAGACCAUGUUCAGAUGGUAACAAAAUAUCAUUUGGAGUGUGUGGGCGAUUCACUGGGGCCGAAUUACUCUCAUUUUCAUUGAGUGUAAGCAUCGUAUGUAUUUGGGUGCUAACGGGUCAUUGGCUACUUAUGGAUGCAAUGGGCAUGGGCCUCUGCGUCGCAUUUAUAGCGUUUGUUCGAUUACCUAGUCUAAAGGUAUCCACCCUAUUACUCACUGGACUUUUGAUUUACGACGUCUUUUGGGUCUUCUUUUCAUCGUACAUAUUCAGCACAAACGUAAUGGUUAAGGUGGCUACGCGGCCUGCGGACAAUCCAGUGGGUCUCGUAGCACGUAGAUUACACCUGGGUGGUGUAGCUCGUGAAGUUCCGAAGCUCUCUCUACCUGGGAAGCUGGUAUUCCCGUCGAUGCAUCAGUCGGGACACUUUUCGAUGUUAGGCCUCGGCGACGUUGUAAUGCCGGGCCUCUUACUGUGCUUCGUACUUCGUUACGACGCCUAUAAGAAGAGCCAGAUUUUGCCAGGUGGCUGCGAGACAGGGGUACCACCUCCGCGACACCUCAGUCGUAUCAGUUACUUCCACUGUUCUCUGAUCGGUUACUUUCUCGGUCUGCUCACUGCCACGGUUAGUUCCGAGGUGUUCAAAGCCGCGCAGCCUGCCUUACUGUACCUCGUGCCCUUUACAUUGUUGCCCCUACUUACCAUGGCGUAUCUCAAGGGCGACCUGCGACGCAUGUGGAGUGAACCGUUCAUAUCCCAACAGCCGUCUAAGCACAUGGAAGUUUGACAACUGUCCGGACUCGCUCUAGAUUCUGUUUUCUGCUGGGUGAGGAACCAUAACGCGCAUCUCGCCGUUAUUUCAACUUUACUCCCUUGUUUUCGUCGGAAUGGAUUUAUCUCGUUGUUAAGAGUGGAGCAAUAACGCAUAGAGUCGGAGCAUUCGGAGCAGUUUCGAAACGAGAACGGGAGUUCUAAUAGUGCUACGCGAGGAAGAUUACACGAUCGAUUUUGUGACGAAAGAACCACUGUAAAAGAGCAGAGAUAGACAAUGUUGGUUGAUUAGAUCUUUAUGGGUUUACCCUUCUCACUAAUCCAGAGAACACCAUAUGAGGCAGAUUUUGUAUAUUAUCAUCAUCGUUGAAUUAGAAACAACGUAUUCCUGAAUAAAAAGCACAAUUCUCUCUAAAAUACGAGAGAACGGUGCACAAUCAUAUGCGCAAGACUGUAUAAGACGAGCAAGAACACUUAGCGGAAAACAUAAAGCGUAGCUUUCAUAUAUAUUUUCAGAAAUCUUUGCGAAGUGCUUUGAAAAGUUUAAACAUGCAUCUCGUUUCCUAGCUUUAAAUAUUUAUUACGAACAAUUCUGUACAUUUUCCUUAAUUUAUAUGAAUUGCAUGUACAGUAUUGCACGUAUCAUUGUGUACGAUCGAUUUCUCAUUGAUAACACUCAUUGUAGAUACGGGCUGCUUAAAUUGACGUUUUAAUUGUUUAAUGUCAGAUGAUGAUGGCGGUACUCAAGAACUGAUUAAGAGCACGCAUAUUUCGCAUUGAAAGUGAAUCGAUGUUCUUUGUUUAACAUUUUCCGGAAAGUGUUUCCAAGCUCCACUCUGAUCUUAUCGUUAUCGCUAGUAAGUAGAAACAAUUAUUGAUGCGAAAGGUCUCUUUCUAAUUUAUUACCGAAAGGAAUGAUUAAUUGAACUGUACGUAAUCUGUAAUUAUGACUAGAAUAACACGUGGUUAUUCAAAGGAAUUCGUACAUGAAUCCAGUGAACAUGUGUGUAGGUUGUGAUUUAAUUUUUAACAUUGCUUUAAUUAUCGGAUGAAGCAACAUUUCUGUAAAUACAUGUAUUAACUAUAAUUUUAAUAUGCAUAAAGGGUCUGAUUUGCAGUUUGCUUUUAACAAUAUAAGCGCUGCCGUGCGGCCUCAGGCAGUAAACAUAUUGUUAUGAACGAACUGGAAAUACCUAGUUCCAAUCUUAAA
This 2775-nucleotide unclassified non-coding RNA is filed under the name Orussus abietinus. RNAcentral's name for it is "signal peptide peptidase-like 3, transcript variant X2". Lineage: Eukaryota; Metazoa; Arthropoda; Insecta; Hymenoptera; Orussidae. The record is from RNAcentral.